This 29-nucleotide small RNA is filed under the name Bombyx mori (domestic silkworm). RNAcentral describes it as "ovarian small RNA-28785". Lineage: Eukaryota; Metazoa; Arthropoda; Insecta; Lepidoptera; Bombycidae. The record is from RNAcentral.
UCGCGGCCUUUGGCUGUUUCGGCGCCGCG